GUAGUCAUAUGCUUGUCUCAAAGAUUAAGCCAUGCAUGUCUAAGUAUAAGCAAUUUAUACGGUGAAACUGCGAAUGGCUCAUUAAAUCAGUUAUCGUUUAUUUGAUAGUACCUUACUACAUGGAUACCUGUGGUAAUUCUAGAGCUAAUACAUGCUGAAAACCCCGACUUCGGAAGGGGUGUAUUUAUUAGAUAAAAAACCAAUGCCCUUCGGGGCUUCUUGGUGAUUCAUAAUAACUAAACGAAUCGCAUGGCCUUGUGCCGGUGAUGGUUCAUUCAAAUUUCUGCCCUAUCAACUUUCGAUGGUAGGAUAGUGGCCUACCAUGGUGGCAACGGGUAACGGGGAAUUAGGGUUCGAUUCCGGAGAGGGAGCCUGAGAAACGGCUACCACAUCCAAGGAAGGCAGCAGGCGCGCAAAUUACCCAAUCCCGAUACGGGGAGGUAGUGACAAUAAAUACCGAUACAGGGCUCUUUUGGGUCUUGUAACCGGAAUGAGUACAAUUUAAAUCCCUUAACGAGGA
RNAcentral lists this ribosomal RNA (520 nucleotides) under uncultured fungus. Its description in RNAcentral is "SSU rRNA". It matches the Rfam family "Eukaryotic small subunit ribosomal RNA", at positions 20 to 543 of the family's 1831-position model. The record is from RNAcentral. Lineage: Eukaryota; Fungi. RNAcentral also lists the same sequence under 1 other name.